UACGUAGGGUGCAAGCGUUAAUCGGAAUUACUGGGCGUAAAGGGUGCGUAGGUGGUUGUUUAAGUCUGCUGUGAAAGCCCCGGGCUCAACCUGGGAAUGGCAGUGGAUACUGGACAGCUAGAGUGCGGUAGAGGGUAGUGGAAUUCCCGGUGUAGCAGUGAAAUGCGUAGAGAUCGGGAGGAACACCAGUGGCGAAGGCGGCUACCUGGACCAGCACUGACACUGAAGCACGAAAGCGUGGGGAGCAAACAGG
RNAcentral lists this ribosomal RNA (253 nucleotides) under uncultured bacterium. RNAcentral describes it as "partial 16S ribosomal RNA". It matches the Rfam family "Bacterial small subunit ribosomal RNA", at positions 524 to 776 of the family's 1533-position model. The record is from RNAcentral.